Long non-coding RNA from Sebastes umbrosus (honeycomb rockfish), 529 nucleotides. RefSeq lists it as uncharacterized. NCBI's taxonomy places the organism in Eukaryota, Metazoa, Chordata, Actinopteri, Perciformes, Sebastidae. The transcript has 3 exons. The record is from RefSeq and is a predicted model, not a curated record.
UUGGAGAUGUUGGGAAACUAGCAUACGGUGACCAGACGUCCCGGUUUGUCCGGGACUGUCCUGGUUUCAAGCUGGGUGUCCCGAGUCCCGACAAAUAUCUGUAAAACACUAAAAUCUUCCCGGUUUUCAACAGUCACUAACAAAUUUAGUUUUCUCUACAAUUAAAAUAAUAACAAUAUUAUACUUAUUAUAAUAUUAUACUUACAUGGGAGAUUAGAAUUCCCUGAGUUAUAAGCAUUCACUUCAAUUACGGGACCCACAAACAAUAAAACCUUAUUGAGUUGGAGUUUCAUGGAUGUGGAGCUGAUGCUUCUGCUUGAACCAAUGAAUCCUUGACAGCUGAUAUGUUAAACCAAGUGAUUCUUGGUGUACAUGUGUGUCCAGCUACCAUGCAGGAUUUGUGGUGUGUGUGAAAGUUAAUUCCUGUGAGAACUUCCCACCUGUAUAGUGGUCAGCACAGCACUACUUUCUUUCCUACAAGACUAAAUAAGGAGUUGCACUUUCGGUGCACGCAAACACACACACACAC